GUGCACCAGGCGCGAACCUUCGCAAUGCGGGAAACCGCGACGAGGGGACUCCCAGUGCCUACGCUCAGCGUAGGCUGUUCCCGAGCCUAGAAAGCUCGGGGAGUAAGGGCUGGGUAAGACGGGUGCCAGCCGCCGCGGUAAUACCGCAGCCCGAGUGGUGGCCACUAUUAUUGGGCCUAAAGCGUCCGUAGCCGGCCCGGUAAAUGCCUGGGUAAAUCGUGAGGCCUAACCUCACGAAUUCCGGGUAGACUGCCGGGCUAGGGGACCGGAGGAGGGAGAGGGUACUCCAGGGGUAGGGUGAAAUCCUGUAAUCCCUGGAGGACCACCGGUGGCGAAGGCGCUCUCCUAGGACGGGUCCGACGGUGAGGGACGAAAGCCAGGGGAGCGAACCGGAUUAGAUA
Molecule: ribosomal RNA, 401 nt
Filed under: uncultured microorganism
Description: bacterial SSU rRNA
Rfam family: Archaeal small subunit ribosomal RNA
Source: RNAcentral